Molecule: ribosomal RNA, 254 nt
Filed under: uncultured bacterium
Lineage: Bacteria
Description: partial 16S ribosomal RNA
Rfam family: Bacterial small subunit ribosomal RNA
Source: RNAcentral
GACGAACGCUGGCGGCGUGCUUAACACAUGCAAGUCGAGCGGUAAGGCCCUUUCGGGGUACGACGAGCGGCGAACGGGUGAGUAACACGUGGGUGACCUCGCCCUCAGCUCUGGGAGUAAGACCCGGGAAACCUAGGGUCUAAUACCGGAUAUGACUCCACGGUGCAUGUCGUGGGGUGGAAAGCCUUGUGCGGCUGAGGAUGGGCCCGCGGCCUAUCAGCUUGUUGGUGGGGUGAUGGCCACCAAGGCGACGA